AAGGAUUUAAGUUAAAAAAACUGUUAACCUUCAAAGUUAAAAAUAGAAUAAAUUCUAAGCCUUA
Molecule: transfer RNA, 64 nt
Filed under: Calvia championorum
Lineage: Eukaryota; Metazoa; Arthropoda; Insecta; Coleoptera; Coccinellidae
Description: tRNA-Trp
Source: RNAcentral